Molecule: small nucleolar RNA, 135 nt
Organism: Jaculus jaculus (lesser Egyptian jerboa)
Lineage: Eukaryota; Metazoa; Chordata; Mammalia; Rodentia; Dipodidae
Gene: SNORA70
Rfam family: Small nucleolar RNA SNORA70
About the family: snoRNA U70 seems to be exclusive to mammals and is a member of the H/ACA class of snoRNA which contain H (ANANNA) and ACA box motifs.
Source: Ensembl
UUGCAGCCUAUUCAACUGACCAGGUUCCUUUCCUCAUGGGGGUCCAGUGUGCAGUGGCUGCAGACAGCAGCCUCCUUGGUAGCGUAUAAAACCUGCUGCUUGUACAGGUGGCUCUAAGGGGCCUUGGAGACAGUU